ACUCAACGAGCUUUUAAUUCAGAGAGGUGAGUUUUCAUUGCAAAAGCAAGCUGCCUUGAGCAGAUCCUUGACCAGUGAUGUAGCCUCAAACUUGAUUUUUUAGGAGUUU
This is a non-coding RNA of Flavobacteria bacterium MS024-2A, 109 nucleotides long. The record is from Rfam. NCBI's taxonomy places the organism in Bacteria, Pseudomonadati, Bacteroidota, Flavobacteriia.